AGCAGUCGCCGCGGUAAUACGGAGGAUCCAAGCGUUAUCCGGAAUCAUUGGGUUUAAAGGGUCCGUAGGCGGUCUUGUAAGUCAGUGGUGAAAGCCCAUCGCUCAACGGUGGAACGGCCAUUGAUACUGCAGGACUUGAAUUAUUGGGAAGUAACUAGAAUAUGUAGUGUAGCGGUGAAAUGCUUAGAGAUUACAUGGAAUACCAAUUGCGAAGGCAGGUUACUACCAAUUGAUUGACGCUGAUGGACGAAAGCGUGGGUAGCGAACAGGAUUAGAUACCCGCGUAGUCCCUGUCUCUUAUAC
Molecule: ribosomal RNA, 303 nt
Filed under: uncultured bacterium
Lineage: Bacteria
Description: partial 16S ribosomal RNA
Rfam family: Bacterial small subunit ribosomal RNA
Source: RNAcentral